UGGUUAAGCUAAAAAGAGCGCAGGUGGAUGCCUUGGCACUAAGAGCCGAUGAAAGACGUGAUAAGCUGCGAAAAGCUUCGGGGAGGAGCAAAUAUCCUUUGAUCCGGAGAUAUCUGAAUGGGGAAACCUGGCUGAGCAAACCUCAGUCGGCGUAACGUGAAUCCAUAGCGUUACGUUGGGAACCCGCUGAACUGAAACAUCUAAGUAGGCGGAGGAAAAGAAAGAAAACUCGAUUUCCAGAGUAGCGGCGAGCGAAAUGGAAGGAGCCUAAACCUGGGUGCGUGCACCCAGGGG
This 294-nucleotide ribosomal RNA is filed under the name Hungatella hathewayi. RNAcentral describes it as "partial 23S ribosomal RNA". It matches the Rfam family "Bacterial large subunit ribosomal RNA", at positions 1 to 297 of the family's 2925-position model. The record is from RNAcentral. Lineage: Bacteria; Bacillati; Bacillota; Clostridia; Lachnospirales; Lachnospiraceae.